AAUGCAUGAUCAGUAGGUAAGAACCUACGAUGACAAUCAAACCAAGAAGUUUUCCCCCCAUUUGCCAACUAAAAGGCCUUUGUGUCCUCCAUGCAAUACGGACAUGCUAGUCUACCAAGUGUCCCUCAACCAGACAACAUCCCAUAAGCAGGAAAAUCAUUAAUAGUCCACAUCAAAGCUUCCCUCAUCAUGAAAUUUUGCUUUCUUGAAACAUCGUAAGUCAUAA
Molecule: long non-coding RNA, 226 nt
Filed under: Glycine max (soybean)
Lineage: Eukaryota; Viridiplantae; Streptophyta; Magnoliopsida; Fabales; Fabaceae
Description: long non-coding RNA (GMAX_LNC001473)
Source: RNAcentral